AUUGAACGCUGGCGACAUGCCUUACACAUGCAAGUCGAACGGCAGCACGGGUGCUUGCACCUGGUGGCGAGUGGCGAACGGGUGAGUAAUACAUCGGAACAUGUCCUGUAGUGGGGGAUAGCCCGGCGAAAGCCGGAUUAAUACCGCAUACGAUCUACGGAUGAAAGCGGGGGACCUUCGGGCCUCGCGCUAUAGGGUUGGCCGAUGGCUGAUUAGCUAGGUGGUGGGGUAAAGGCCUACCAAGGCGACGAUCAGUAGCUGGUCUGAGAGGACGACCAGCCACACUGGGACUGAGACACGGCCCAGACUCCUACGGGAGGCAGCAGUGGGGAAUUUUGGACAAUGGGCGAAAGCCUGAUCCAGCAAUGCCGCGUGUGUGAAGAAGGCCUUCGGGUUGUAAAGCACUUUUGUCCGGAAAGAAAUCCUUGGCCCUAAUACGGUCGGGGGAUGACGGUACCGGAAGAAUAAGCACCGGCUAACUACGUG
This 486-nucleotide ribosomal RNA is filed under the name uncultured bacterium. RNAcentral describes it as "partial 16S ribosomal RNA". It matches the Rfam family "Bacterial small subunit ribosomal RNA", at positions 30 to 507 of the family's 1533-position model. The record is from RNAcentral.